Molecule: ribosomal RNA, 517 nt
Filed under: uncultured Planctomycetota bacterium
Lineage: Bacteria; Pseudomonadati; Planctomycetota
Description: bacterial SSU rRNA
Rfam family: Bacterial small subunit ribosomal RNA
Source: RNAcentral
UCCGCAAUGGGCGAAAGCCUGACGGAGCGACGCCGCGUGCGGGAUGAAGGCCUUCGGGUUGUAAACCGCUGUCAGUUGGGAGGAAAUCUAUGGGGGUUCUCCCCCAUAGUUGACCUAUCUUCAGAGGAAGGACGGGCUAAGUUCGUGCCGGCAGCCGCGGUAAGACGAACCGUCCAAACGUUAUUCGGAAUCACUGGGCUUAAAGGGUGCGUAGGCGGCUUGGCAAGUUGGGUGUGAAAUCCCUCGGCUCAACCGAGGAACUGCGCUCAAAACUGCCAAGCUAGAGGAAGAUAGAGGUGAGCGGAACUAAUGGUGGAGCGGUGAAAUGCGUUGAUAUCAUUAGGAACACCUGUGGCGAAAGCGGCUCACUGGGUCUUUUCUGACGCUGAGGCACGAAAGCUAGGGUAGCGAACGGGAUUAGAUACCCCGGUAGUCCUAGCUGUAAACGAUGAGCACUAGGUUGGAGGCUCCUCCAUAGGUUUCCGACGAAGCGAAAGUUUAAGUGCUCCCCUGGGGA